RNAcentral lists this ribosomal RNA (468 nucleotides) under uncultured bacterium. RNAcentral's name for it is "partial 16S ribosomal RNA". It matches the Rfam family "Bacterial small subunit ribosomal RNA", at positions 28 to 507 of the family's 1533-position model. The record is from RNAcentral.
GACGAACGCUGGCGGCGUGCUUAACACAUGCAAGUCGAACGGAAAGGCCCUGCUUUUGUGGGGUGCUCGAGUGGCGAACGGGUGAGUAACACGUGAGUAACCUGCCUUUGACUUUGGGAUAACUUCAGGAAACUGGGGCUAAUACCGGAUAGGAGCUCCUGCUGCAUGGUGGGGGUUGGAAAGUUUCGGCGGUUGGGGAUGGACUCGCGGCUUAUCAGCUUGUUGGUGGGGUAGUGGCUUACCAAGGCUUUGACGGGUAGCCGGCCUGAGAGGGUGACCGGCCACAUUGGGACUGAGAUACGGCCCAGACUCGUACGGGAGGCAGCAGUGGGGAAUAUUGCACAAUGGGCGGAAGCCUGAUACAGCAACGCCGCGUGCGGGAUGACGGCCUUCGGGUUGUAAACCGCUUUCGCCUGUGACGAAGCGUGAGUGACGGUAAUGGGUAAAGAAGCACCGGCUAACUACGUG